UAUGUAGGGGGCAAGCGUUGUCCGGAUUUAUUGGGCGUAAAGAGCGUGUAGGCGGCCAGGUAGGUCUGCUGUGAAAACUCGAGGCUUAACCUCGAGCUGUCGGCGGAAACCAUCUGGCUAGAGUCCGGAAGAGGAGAAUGGAAUUCCCGGUGUAGCGGUGAAAUGCGCAGAUAUCGGGAAGAACACCCGUGGCGAAGGCGGUUCUCUGGGACGGUACUGACGCUGAGACGCGAAAGCGUGGGGAGCGAACAGG
Molecule: ribosomal RNA, 253 nt
Filed under: uncultured bacterium
Lineage: Bacteria
Description: partial 16S ribosomal RNA
Rfam family: Bacterial small subunit ribosomal RNA
Source: RNAcentral